RNAcentral lists this ribosomal RNA (334 nucleotides) under uncultured eukaryote. RNAcentral's name for it is "partial 18S ribosomal RNA". It matches the Rfam family "Eukaryotic small subunit ribosomal RNA", at positions 1470 to 1796 of the family's 1831-position model. The record is from RNAcentral.
CCCUUAGAUGUCCGGGGCCGCACGCGCGCUACACUGAAGGAAUCAGCGUGGCUUUCUCCCUGACCCGAAAGGGUUGGGAAACCCGUUGAAUCUCCUUCGUGAUAGGGAUUGGGGCUUGAAAUUGUUCCCCAUGAACGAGGAAUUCCCAGAAAGCGCGAGUCAUAAGCUCGCGUUGAUUACGUCCCUGCCCUUUGUACACACCGCCCGUCGCUACUACCGAUUGAACGGUUUAGUGAGGGCCUCGGAUUGGUCUCGGCCCGCUCUUUACCGGGCGGCGCCGUUGGUCGAGAAGACGCUCGAACUUGAUCGUUUAGAGGAAGUAAAAGUCGUAACA